AUUGAAUUAAAUUCUUGUAAAAUUCUAUAUUCUGAAUAGGGGUAUAUGGAAUCAAACAUGGGAAAAUGUUGCUAAAUCUUUACAUAUGAGAUUUGCUGGUUCCAAGCAUGUUGAUGUUACAUAAGGCAAGUUUAUCUUACCCAUAAUGUGGUGUAAGUUUUGGUGAGUGUGGUUCAUUCUUGACGAGUAUGCUUGUUAAUUGAUGGGUAUGCAUGUUAUAAACAUAUGUAAGGAAAAUUUUGUUUUCAACUUUUUGUGCAAUCAUUAGUUGUUUAUCUUUGAAUAAUGAUGAAAAACUGGUCUUAAACGGAGUUGAAUAGCAAAAAGCUAUUCAUAUAGUUGAUCCUAACUAAUUUGGAAUGAAGCUUAG
This 370-nucleotide unclassified non-coding RNA is filed under the name Hevea brasiliensis (rubber tree). The record is from RNAcentral. Lineage: Eukaryota; Viridiplantae; Streptophyta; Magnoliopsida; Malpighiales; Euphorbiaceae.